Molecule: non-coding RNA, 75 nt
Organism: Ostertagia ostertagi
Lineage: Eukaryota; Metazoa; Nematoda; Chromadorea; Rhabditida; Trichostrongylidae
Source: the annotation of a GenBank genome assembly
GCUCCGAUGUGGUGUAGUGGUUUAGGAUUUUGCGCUCUCACCGCAAGGCCUGCGGUUCGAUUCCCGGCCGAUGCA